This is a non-coding RNA of Triticum aestivum (bread wheat), 115 nucleotides long. Lineage: Eukaryota; Viridiplantae; Streptophyta; Magnoliopsida; Poales; Poaceae. The record is from Rfam.
GUAGUACUCCCUCCGUUCGGAAUUACUUGUCACAAAAAUGGAUGUAUCUACAACUAAAAUACAUCUAGAUACAUUCAUUUCUUGGACGAGUAAUUACGAAUGGAGGGAGUAUGUA